UACGUAGGGUGCUAGCGUUGCUCGGAAUUAUUGGGCGUAAAGGGCGCGUAGGCGGUUAGUUUAGUCAGAGGUAAAAGCCCAGGGCUCAACCUUGGAACUGCCUUUGAUACUGGCUAUCUUGAGUUCGGGAGAGGAGAGUGGAAUUCCCGGUGUAGCGGUGAAGUGCGCAGAUAUCGGGAAGAACACCCGUGGCGAAGGCGGCUCUCUGGAACGCAACUGACGCUGAGACGCGAAAGCGUGGGGAGCAAACAGG
This 253-nucleotide ribosomal RNA is filed under the name uncultured bacterium. Its description in RNAcentral is "partial 16S ribosomal RNA". It matches the Rfam family "Bacterial small subunit ribosomal RNA", at positions 524 to 776 of the family's 1533-position model. The record is from RNAcentral.